CCCUUAGAUGUUCUGGGCCGCACGCGUGCUACACUGACCGGCGCAACAAGUUUCUUUCCUUGGCUCGAUAGGCCUGGGUAAUCUUUGAACGCCGGUCGUGAUGGGGAUAGAUCCUUGCAAUUUUUGAUCUUCAACGAGGAAUUCCUAGUAAAUGCGAGUCAUCAUCUCGCGUUGAUUACGUCCCUGCCCUUUGUACACACCGCCCGUCGCACCUACCGAUUGAAUGGUCCGGUGAAGCCUCGGGAUUGCGAAUGCUUCGUGCGGACGCGAGAACUUGGCUAAGCCUUACCAUUUAGAGGAAGGUGAAGUCGUAACA
RNAcentral lists this ribosomal RNA (316 nucleotides) under uncultured eukaryote. RNAcentral describes it as "partial 18S ribosomal RNA". It matches the Rfam family "Eukaryotic small subunit ribosomal RNA", at positions 1470 to 1796 of the family's 1831-position model. The record is from RNAcentral.